GGGCAGCUAGCUCAAAGGCAGAGCAUCUCUUUGACGUAGAGAAGGUUAGAGGUUCGAGUCCUCUGCUGCCCA
Molecule: transfer RNA, 72 nt
Filed under: Candidatus Nealsoniibacteriota bacterium
Lineage: Bacteria; Candidatus Nealsoniibacteriota
Description: Candidatus Nealsonbacteria bacterium tRNA-Val
Rfam family: tRNA
About the family: Transfer RNA (tRNA) molecules are approximately 80 nucleotides in length. Their secondary structure includes four short double-helical elements and three loops (D, anti-codon, and T loops).
Source: RNAcentral